Molecule: ribosomal RNA, 511 nt
Filed under: uncultured Comamonadaceae bacterium
Lineage: Bacteria; Pseudomonadati; Pseudomonadota; Betaproteobacteria; Burkholderiales; Comamonadaceae
Description: bacterial SSU rRNA
Rfam family: Bacterial small subunit ribosomal RNA
Source: RNAcentral
GGACCCGCACAAGCGGUGGAUGAUGUGGUUUAAUUCGAUGCAACGCGAAAAACCUUACCCACCUUUGACAUGUACGGAAUCCUUUAGAGAUAGAGGAGUGCUCGAAAGAGAGCCGUAACACAGGUGCUGCAUGGCUGUCGUCAGCUCGUGUCGUGAGAUGUUGGGUUAAGUCCCGCAACGAGCGCAACCCUUGCCAUUAGUUGCUACGAAAGGGCACUCUAAUGGGACUGCCGGUGACAAACCGGAGGAAGGUGGGGAUGACGUCAAGUCCUCAUGGCCCUUAUAGGUGGGGCUACACACGUCAUACAAUGGCUGGUACAAAGGGUUGCCAACCCGCGAGGGGGAGCCAAUCCCACAAAGCCAGUCGUAGUCCGGAUCGCAGUCUGCAACUCGACUGCGUGAAGUCGGAAUCGCUAGUAAUCGUGGAUCAGAAUGUCACGGUGAAUACGUUCCCGGGUCUUGUACACACCGCCCGUCACACCAUGGGAGCGGGUUCNGCCAGAAGUAGGUA